AUGGUAGAUAUAAAGCGUUUUCUCGUUUAACGGUGUAAAACUAUCAAAAUCAAUUGAAUUUUGGCUAGAAAAUUCUUUAAACUAUUUAGAAUAAGAUCUAUACUCUUGAUCUUGAUUACAAAAUUCCAAUCAUCACUUUUUAGAGGAUAUUCAUUUUCAGCCGUUCAAUUUUACGCUCACUUGAUGGACAAGAGAACAAUAUCGAAAUAGUAUGAAAUUUGAUUUCUAGACACUUCAAGUGGUAUAGAUCAUGUUCAACGGUACUGAUCGUCGAUUUGGAGGCUCCAUCAUCGAAACAAAUGGGUGGCAACGGAGCCCGUUUGCUACUGAUAGUAUUCCAGCU
RNAcentral lists this long non-coding RNA (343 nucleotides) under Ananas comosus (pineapple). RNAcentral describes it as "long non-coding RNA (ACOM_LNC041040)". Lineage: Eukaryota; Viridiplantae; Streptophyta; Magnoliopsida; Poales; Bromeliaceae. The record is from RNAcentral.